Molecule: long non-coding RNA, 493 nt
Organism: Gossypium raimondii (Peruvian cotton)
Lineage: Eukaryota; Viridiplantae; Streptophyta; Magnoliopsida; Malvales; Malvaceae
Exons: 3
Source: RefSeq, a predicted model, not a curated record
GCAUAGCUUUGGAGAUACAUUGCAAGUUAGCUAACUACUUUAGAAACUCAAACAAACCUUUUACUUCUCAACUCUCUCAAAUUCACCAUGGCUGACAAGUGCGGCAACUGCGACUGCUCUGACAAGAGCCAGUGUGUGAAGAAAGGAAACGCCUUGGUCAUUGAGACUGAGAAAAGCUACAUCAGCACUGUAGUGGUCGAGGCUGUGGCAGAGAACGAUGGCAAGUGCAAGUGUGGAGAUAGCUGCAGCUGCACAGACUGCACAUGUGGCACUCAUUAAGCAGACAUAGAACCAUGAUGUUUUAGUCCAUAGCAAUAUUAGGACCUAAAAAUAAUGAAAUUGAGUUGAAUAAAUUGGUGUUUUGUUGUUGUAGUUUGAGACAUUGAAUGCGUUUUCAUGCCUGUCUGUCUUAUGUCUGAGUCUCAUUGUACACUAUGAUGGAAUGGUCAUAUCUAUGGACUUCGUAUGAUUAAUGAAUUAUUAUCAGUUUAAA